RNAcentral lists this ribosomal RNA (1383 nucleotides) under uncultured bacterium. Its description in RNAcentral is "bacterial SSU rRNA". It matches the Rfam family "Bacterial small subunit ribosomal RNA", at positions 18 to 1395 of the family's 1533-position model. The record is from RNAcentral.
CAUGGCUCAGGACGAAACGCUGGCGGCGUGCUUAACACAUGCAAGUUCGAACGAUGAAAGCCUAGCUUGCUAGAGUGGAUUAGUCGGCGAACGGGUCGAGUAAUACGUGAGUCGACCUACCUUCGACUCUGGGAUAAGCCUAGGGAAACUGGGUCUAAUACCGGAUACGACCAAUCUCCGCAUGGGGUGUUGGUGGAAAGCGUUAUGGAGUGGUUUUAGAUGGGCUCACGGCCUAUCAGCUUGUUGGUGAGGUAAUGGCUUACCAAGGCGACGACGGGUAGCCGGCCUGAGAGGGUGACCGGCCACACUGGGACUGAGACACGGCCCAGACUCCUACGGGAGGCAGCAGUGGGGAAUAUUGCACAAUGGGCGCAAGCCUGAUGCAGCGACGCCGCGUGAGGGAUGACGGCCUUCGGGUUGUAAACCUCUGUUAGCAUCGAAGAAGCGAAAGUGACGGUAGGUGCAGAGAAAGCGCCGGCUAACUACGUGCCAGCAGCCGCGGUAAUACGUAGGGCGCGAGCGUUGUCCGGAAUUAUUGGGCGUAAAGAGCUUGUAGGCGGUUGGUCGCGUCUGCUGUGAAAGGCUGGGGCUUAACCCUGGUUUUGCAGUGGGUACGGGCUAACUAGAGUGCAGUAGGGGAGACUGGAAUUCCUGGUGUAGCGGUGGAAUGCGCAGAUAUCAGGAGGAACACCGAUGGCGAAGGGCAGGUCUCUGGGCUGUAACUGACGCUGAGAAGCGAAAGCAUGGGGAGCGAACAGGAUUAGAUACCCUGGUAGUCCAUGCCGUAAACGUUGGGCACUAGGUUGUGGGGGACAUUCCACGUUUUCCGCGCCGUAGCUAACGCAUUAAGUGCCCCGCCUGGGGAGUACGGCCCGCAAGGCUAAAACUCAAAGAAAUUGACGGGGGCCCGCACAAGCGGCGGAGCAUGCGGAUUAAUUCGAUGCAACGCGAAGAACCUUACCAAGGCUUGACAUAUACUGGACUGCGUCAGAGAUGGCGUUUCCCUUCGGGGCUGGUAUACAGGUGGUGCAUGGUUGUCGUCAGCUCGUGUCGUGAGAUGUUGGGUUAAGUCCCGCAACGAGCGCAACCCUCGUUCUAUGUUGCCAGCACGUGAUGGUGGGGACUCAUAGGAGACUGCCGGGGUCAACUCGGAGGAAGGUGGGGAUGACGUCAAAUCAUCAUGCCCCUUAUGUCUUGGGCUUCACGCAUGCUACAAUGGCCGGUACAGAGGGUUGCGAUACUGUGAGGUGGAGCUAAUCCCUAAAAGCCGGUCUCAGUUCGGAUUGGGGUCUGCAACUCGACCCCAUGAAGUCGGAGUCGCUAGUAAUCGCAGAUCAGCAACGCUGCGGUGAAUACGUUCCCGGGCCCUUGCACCCACCGCCC